GAUGAACGCUGGCGGCGUGCCUAAUACAUGCAAGUCGAGCGAAUGGAUUAAGAGCUUGCUCUUAUGAAGUUAGCGGCGGACGGGUGAGUAACACGUGGGUAACCUGCCCAUAAGACUGGGAUAACUCCGGGAAACCGGGGAUAAUACCGGAUAACAUUUUGAACCGCAUGGUUCGAAAUUGAAAGGCGGCUUCGGCUUGCACUUAUGGAUGGACCCGCGUCGCAUUAGCUAGUUGGUGAGGUAACGGCUCACCAAGGCAACGAUGCGUAGCCGACCUGAGAGGGUGAUCGGCCACACUGGGACUGAGACACGGCCCAGACUCCUACGGGAGGCAGCAGUAGGGAAUCUUCCGCAAUGGACGAAAGUCUGACGGAGCAACGCCGCGUGAGUGAUGAAGGCUUUCGGGUCGUAAAACUCUGUUGUCAGGGAAGAACAAGUGCUAGUUGAAUAAGCUGGCACCUUGACGGUACCUAACCAGAAAGCCACGGCUAACUACGUGCCAGCCGCCGCAGUAA
RNAcentral lists this ribosomal RNA (515 nucleotides) under uncultured bacterium. RNAcentral describes it as "partial 16S ribosomal RNA". It matches the Rfam family "Bacterial small subunit ribosomal RNA", at positions 28 to 523 of the family's 1533-position model. The record is from RNAcentral.